CUCCUAUGCAGAUACCUCUUUGUGAGAUGCCAAACAAAGAGGAAUUUUGCAUGGGAAGA
Molecule: microRNA precursor, 59 nt
Filed under: Eptatretus burgeri (inshore hagfish)
Lineage: Eukaryota; Metazoa; Chordata; Myxini; Myxiniformes; Myxinidae
Description: Ebu-Mir-202_pre stem-loop
Source: RNAcentral